AGCGAACGCUGGCGGCAGGCCUAACACAUGCAAGUCGAACGGAUCCUUCGGGAUUAGUGGCGGACGGGUGAGGAACACGUGGGAACGUGCCUUUUGGUUCGGAACAACUCAGGGAAACUUGAGCUAAUACCGGAUGUGCCCUUCGGGGGAAAGAUUUAUCGCCAUUAGAGCGGCCCGCGUCUGAUUAGCUAGUUGGUGGGGUAAAGGCUCACCAAGGCUACGAUCAGUAGCUGGUCUGAGAGGAUGAUCAGCCACACUGGGACUGAGACACGGCCCAGACUCCUACGGGAGGCAGCAGUGGGGAAUCUUGCGCAAUGGGGCGAAAGCCUGACGCAGCCAUGCCGCGUGAAUGAUGAAGGUCUUAGGAUUGUAAAAUUCUUUACCCGGGAUGAUAAUGACAGUACCGGGAGAAUAAAGCCCCGGCUAAACUCCGUGCCAGCAGCCGCGGUAAU
This 452-nucleotide ribosomal RNA is filed under the name uncultured bacterium. RNAcentral describes it as "bacterial SSU rRNA". It matches the Rfam family "Bacterial small subunit ribosomal RNA", at positions 29 to 524 of the family's 1533-position model. The record is from RNAcentral.